RNAcentral lists this ribosomal RNA (399 nucleotides) under uncultured bacterium. RNAcentral describes it as "partial 16S ribosomal RNA". It matches the Rfam family "Bacterial small subunit ribosomal RNA", at positions 360 to 776 of the family's 1533-position model. The record is from RNAcentral.
AAUAUUGGACAAUGGGCGCAAGCCUGAUCUAGCCAGGCCGCGUGAGUGAUUAAGGCCCUAGGGUUGUAAAGCUCUUUUGUCCGGGACGAUAAUGAAGGUACCGGAAGAAUAAGCCCCGGCCAACUUCGCGCCAGCAGCCGCGGCCAUACGAAGGGGGUUAGCGUUGCUCGGAAUCACUGGGCGUAAAGGGCGCGUAGGCGGACGUUUAAGUCAGGGGUGAAAUCCCGGGGCUCAAACUCGGAAUUGCCUUUGAUACUGGAUGUCUCGAGACCGGGAGAGGUAAGUGGAAAUGCGAGUGUAGAGGUGAAAUUCGUAGAUAUUCGCAAGAACACCAGUGGCGAAGGCGGCUUACUGGUCCGGUUCUGACGCUGAGGCGCGAAAGCGUGGGGAACAAACAGG